Molecule: long non-coding RNA, 1304 nt
Organism: Triticum aestivum (bread wheat)
Lineage: Eukaryota; Viridiplantae; Streptophyta; Magnoliopsida; Poales; Poaceae
Exons: 5
Source: RefSeq, a predicted model, not a curated record
CACCUCCCGUUGCCUACCGCAUCUUCGCCCAGCUCCUUCUCCAGCCCCGUGCCGACCCACAGCAGCCAUGGUGGCUGACCAAGAGGAGGAAACCCUCCUGUGCUGCUCCGCCUCCCAGCGUGGGGAUUGUUUCAUACGGGCGGACGUUCCACGGACCCUAGCUUUCUUUCCCAUGGAUUCAUAGCGCAGCACCCCUCCCCUUCUCCUCCAUCCUCUCUCGUCAGCAGCCGUCCCCAUAUUCCACCUCCAUCGUCUCUGUCCGACGCUGAGCAGCGGCUCACCCCACAGCCCCUUCUCCACCCACGACCAAUGGUUGGGGAGGCGGGGUCUUUUCGCUGGGGUGGAGCAGGGGAGGCCCAGGAGGCCAGCGGUGGGGGAGCAGCGACGCCGGCCUGCUGGGAUGGUGCAGCGAGGCGCCGUGGUUGUGAAGCAUCACUAUAAUCCCGACUCACUCAACUGGUGUAUGGGGCCGUGGCUGGGACGUUGGCCCUCGGCACAAACUUGACGCCGAGUCUAGCUUAGGAGCUCCGGGAACAGUUCAAUCGAGGGGAGCUCUAGGAAUGACCCAAAACAAGGAUGAGACGGCCAACUAGAGAGGAAGAAUAAGUUUAGCUAAGAGUGGAAGAAGACCGAGGUGAAAUUUCUGCAGUUAGAUACCACAAGAGGAGGUGCAGAUAGAUGAUGUAGUAUUUAGGCGGCGAACCCAACAUCCCAACCUUUUGUAAGCAGGUGCCUGUCAUGGUUACUGUGACGGAGGCAUAUUUAAGAAUGAUGCUGAUCCCUGAAUGCCCUUGAUGCUCGCCAAGGGUGUGUUUGUUUGGGCUACAAUUUCCAUGGCUGCAGCUGAAGGAGCGGCUGUAGCUGGUGAUGAAGAGAGGCACUUCGCAUUUGCCCACAAGAAGUACAGAGAGGCUUCAAAGCAUGGAGAGGCACUUCGCAUUUUCUUGACAACUUUCAGAGAAGAACAAGUACUGUUAGUCAUUCUCUGACAUGUAUAAUACAAUUCUGGAGAUGUGAAUGGAUGUAUUCAUUUAGUAGAGUAUUAGUAGAUGAUGAUUUAUUUUCUUUGCUGUCAACUGGUGUAUAUCCUGAUAUGUUUAGUCUGUUCCGAAAUUAAUUUGUAGAGUAGUCUGAACAAUUGUACAGUCUCUCAGUGUAUUAGUACUCUGUUUUUUUGGGCAGCCGGAAGAAAUCAGUUUCUCAUGACAUGCGAAAAUGAGUUUAUUUACCUUCACUAUUGCUUUUAUUGGCUAACAAAGAUGUUUGUGAAAUAGUUAGUUAGGCAUCACAGUGAAGCUUGGCAA